This 247-nucleotide unclassified non-coding RNA is filed under the name uncultured Mortierella. RNAcentral's name for it is "sequence contains ITS2". The record is from RNAcentral. Lineage: Eukaryota; Fungi; Mortierellomycota; Mortierellomycetes; Mortierellales; Mortierellaceae.
AACACCUCAAAGCUUUUGAUUUUUUCUAAAAGUUUUGGACUUGAGCAAUCCCAACACCGGUCUUUUACAGAUCGGCGGCGGGUUGCUUGAAAUGCAGGUGCAGCUGGACAUUCUCCUGAGCUAAAAGCAUAUUUAUUUAGUCCCGUCAAACGGAUUAUUACUUUUGCUGCAGCUAAUAUAAAGGGAGUUUGACCGUAUUGGCUGACUGAUGCAGGAUUUCACAAGGGUCGGCAACGAUUCUUGUAAA